This is a long non-coding RNA of Bos indicus x Bos taurus (hybrid cattle), 1079 nucleotides long. The record is from Ensembl. Lineage: Eukaryota; Metazoa; Chordata; Mammalia; Artiodactyla; Bovidae.
CUUAAAGGUACAUUCUUCUACAUAGUAUUUUAUUACCUAGAAGAGGUGCUUCUCAGCUCACCACACAUUAAACGGAGCAAGUGGUCUGCUUCACAUGGCAGGAAACAAGGCCAUGAGCCACCAGGAGCAAGGAUGAUUUGACUUUUUUAUUUAGUAUAUAGGUUUAUUUUGGAACCAUGCACAUGCUUUACAUAGUUUAACAAAUGAAAGAGAAGUAAGACUUUGACCUCAUAGAAAUCGCUUGGGAAAGAGCUUAAAGAAAGGUCACCUUGCACUGCUCUUGGGAAGGAAAAAAAAUGUCAGGACCUUCAACAAACAAGAGUAGUGAGAAGGAGGAACAGAUGCCAAAAAAGGGAACUGAAGCAACACCGCCGAAGCAUCCACUCUUGUUGCAAUUUAGCUUUGGGCCAACCUGAGCAGCAAAGUUGUGUGAACAGUGCAGUAACUUGCUGGAGUGCGUGGGGAAGCUUUGAUCGGCCAUCUAGUUGGGGAGACGCACAUGCAGACACCAGCUCAUCCAGAAAUGGAUUCAUUCUAGGAAUAUCACCUCUUAAAGAUAUUGUUUGCCGCUAUGUGAGCAGAUUCUCAGAGGGCUCUAACUGGGAUUGUGAAGCUGAGAUAUUCCAGAGGUGUCAUUCUCACUAGAAUCCAACAGUGGCCACCUAUUUCCACUUGGAGAUGAGUGUGAAGUGUGCUGUGACUUCAGGGACAUCAGGUCCUUGGUCCCAGGAGGUAAGCAGUUAGUGAUUUUCUCCCAAGAAGCAUAGACUGUUUCAAGAAACACAGCAUUUAUAAAAUAUGUGCUUGCCUUUGUCCUGACAAGUCCUUGUUUAAGUUAUCGUUUACAGAAAGACAUUAAAUCCCGGUUAUAAUCUUAUAUGUUUACAUGAAUCUGUAGCAUUAUCAUAAAAUCAUUUAUACAUUUCAUAACUGGAGAAAAUUUAGAAAAUUAAGAAAAUUUAGAAAAUUUAAGCCAGAUUAAAUAAUUCACUAAAAGAUCAUCUGGGUGAAAUCUAAUACAUUCUACUACUUGAAAAUAUGUAUAAUAAAAUUCCAUCCCACGCAAAUUGUUUGCUACA